AAACAGAGUCUCACCACGUGGCCCACACUGGCGUGGAAUGCAUGGAUGCUCUUGUUUCUGCCUUUUCAUGUGCUAGGAGUGAGUCAGUUCUCAGCCCGACACCCUAGGCGAGUGCUCUAACUGAGCUGUCUCCAGCCGGUCUCUGGGAUCGCAGACGUGGAUCAUCACCACUCCAAGCCUUUUGUCCACACUGGUGAUUUUUUUUUGGUUUACUGAAAAAAUUGUUGCCCAUGACUUUCCCCUUGCAGCAAUCCUAAAUUAUGAAAACUGAGUGUAGGUGCCAUCCCGCCCCUCCUGGGUAUGUCACAAGCACAGCUCAGCAUUUACAGAUGAGGUUUAGAGGUUCUUACACUCUCUGUGGCUCUUCACGAUUGCACUCUGUUCUUCUCUGGCCAGAGUGGUGCUUGGCCUGGUUGGUGUUUACUAUAUGCUGGUUUCCCUAGCAUAUGUUUAUUGUAUGUUAGACGACGUGAUAAGUGAGUGGAGGGGGAAGGCAUCGGAGUGGUUGGUUACUAACAUAAUAAAGAAGCCUGAGUGACAAGGUGGAAGGAGCCAGCUACUGUUGGGCAUGUUGCCUGAUUGAAUGGUGAGGAGUCCAUGGAUGUGUGGGUUGAAUGUAGAGAGCCAGCUGCUUUUUGGAUGGAGGGAAUUAGACUCAGAUCCUUCUCUCUUCCCCUCCCUAUGUUCAUAACUUUCUGUUCCCUAAGGCCCUUGGGAAAGCCAGGUGAGUGUUGAUAGAGCUGUAAGAGCCACCAUCACCUUCUCUGCUCCCAGCUCCUACUCAACCCUGAUGGCAGGUCGACCUUGAGACCCUUGAGAGUAGCCCUGCCUGGGGGAGUUGCACUGGUCACUGUGAGAGCAGGCUGGGUCUCUGUCUCUCACAGACCUCAAAAUAGACGAGAAGAGCUCAUGUACCCUACCCGAGGGUG
Molecule: long non-coding RNA, 929 nt
Filed under: Rattus norvegicus (Norway rat)
Lineage: Eukaryota; Metazoa; Chordata; Mammalia; Rodentia; Muridae
Description: long non-coding RNA NONRATT019821
Source: RNAcentral